This 301-nucleotide ribosomal RNA is filed under the name uncultured bacterium. Its description in RNAcentral is "partial 16S ribosomal RNA". It matches the Rfam family "Bacterial small subunit ribosomal RNA", at positions 512 to 808 of the family's 1533-position model. The record is from RNAcentral.
CAUCGCCGCGGUAAUACAGAGGGUGCAAGCGUUAAUCGGAAUUACUGGGCGUAAAGCGCGCGUAGGUGGUUUGUUAAGUUGGAUGUGAAAUCCCCGGGCUCAACCUGGGAACUGCAUCCAAAACUGGCAAGCUAGAGUAUGGUAGAGGGUGGUGGAAUUUCCUGUGUAGCGGUGAAAUGCGUAGAUAUAGGAAGGAACACCAGUGGCGAAGGCGACCACCUGGACUGAUACUGACACUGAGGUGCGAAAGCGUGGGGAGCAAACAGGAUUAGAUACCCCAGUAGUCCCUGUCUCUUAUACA